This 505-nucleotide ribosomal RNA is filed under the name uncultured bacterium. RNAcentral describes it as "partial 16S ribosomal RNA". It matches the Rfam family "Bacterial small subunit ribosomal RNA", at positions 28 to 507 of the family's 1533-position model. The record is from RNAcentral.
GACGAACGCUGGCGGCGUGCCUAAUACAUGCAAGUAGAACGCACAGUUUAUACCGUAGCUUGCUCCACCAUAGACUGUGAGUUGCGAACGGGUGAGUAACGCGUAGGUAACCUGCCUGGUAGCGGGGGAUAACUAUUGGAAACGAUAGCUAAUACCGCAUAAUAUUAAUUAUUGCAUGAUAAUUAAUUGAAAGGUGCAAUUGCACCACUACCAGAUGGACCUGCGUUGUAUUAGCUAGUAGGGGAGGUAACGGCUCACCUAGGCGACGAUACAUAGCCGACCUGAGAGGGUGAUCGGCCACACUGGGACUGAGACACGGCCCAGACUCCUACGGGAGGCAGCAGUAGGGAAUCUUCGGCAAUGGACGAAAGUCUGACCGAGCAACGCCGCGGGAGUGAAGAAGGGUUUCGGAUCGUAAAGCUCUGUUGUAAGAGAAGAACGGGUGUGAGAGUGGAAAGUUCACACUGUGACGGUAUCUUACCAGAAAGGGACGGCUAACUACGUG